GAUGAACGCUGGCGGCGUGCUUAACACAUGCAAGUCGAACGGAAAGGCCCAAGCUUGCUUGGGUACUCGAGUGGCGAACGGGUGAGUAACACGUGGGUGAUCUGCCCUGCACUUCGGGAUAAGCCUGGGAAACUGGGUCUAAUACCGGAUAGGACGAUGGUUUGGAUGCCAUUGUGGAAAGUUUUUUCGGUGUGGGAUGAGCUCGCGGCCUAUCAGCUUGUUGGUGGGGUAAUGGCCUACCAAGGCGUCGACGGGUAGCCGGCCUGAGAGGGUGUACGGCCACAUUGGGACUGAGAUACGGCCCAGACUCCUACGGGAGGCAGCAGUGGGGAAUAUUGCACAAUGGGCGCAAGCCUGAUGCAGCGACGCCGCGUGGAGGAUGACGGCCUUCGGGUUGUAAACUCCUUUCGCUAGGGACGAAGCGUUUUUGUGACGGUACCUGGAGAAGAAGCACCGGCUAACUACGUG
Molecule: ribosomal RNA, 468 nt
Filed under: uncultured bacterium
Lineage: Bacteria
Description: partial 16S ribosomal RNA
Rfam family: Bacterial small subunit ribosomal RNA
Source: RNAcentral